Molecule: long non-coding RNA, 7113 nt
Filed under: Homo sapiens (human)
Lineage: Eukaryota; Metazoa; Chordata; Mammalia; Primates; Hominidae
Description: non-protein coding lnc-C21orf58-1:2
Source: RNAcentral
GCGCUGACCCCUAGGCGCCGCUGGUGGCCCCGCGCGCGGCCCUCCGGCCAGCCCCGCCCCUCUCGGGGCUCCUCCUUGGUCCCCGCGCCAUGGCGCGUCCGCGUUGACCGCUGUCUUCCCUUUCGGGCUGUGCUGAUCGCGAACGCUGCGCAGUCCGUGGUGGCGUCGAGGCACCUUUCUCGUGCCUUUACCUGUGUUCACUCCUUUGCUUUAAAAAACAGCCCUAGAAGUACACAUCGUUGGCCCCGAAGGAGCCCCAGCAGCCAUGUCGGACCGCGAGGUGACCUUGGAGGGCGGGAGGACGGACGAGGGGCCUGGCGGAGCUAGACUGAGAGGGCGCCGCCGGCGUCCUGAAGGCCCUGCUCCCCGAAUGUGUGGGAGUGUGUCUGACGGUGCGAGGGUGGCUGUGGCGGGGCCUGAGCAGCGUGUCCGUGUCCCGAUGCCGCCCGCCUGUUACUGAGUUAGGCAGGAGUGCCCGAGUCUGGCGAACUUCAGCAGUUCUCGUUCCAGAGCUCCACACGAGGUUGGCCAAAGCUUUGCGGGACUUACAUACCCUUCUUCCUCCGCCCAGUCCUGCUUCCUUCCCCUUCCUUUCACGGGUGUUGAUACCAUGUCAACAUCCUCGUACCCCAAACUCAGUCGCAGCGUCUGCUUCUGGAGAAACCAUUCUGCAGCAUUAAAGCUGGUGAGAAGAUGGGAUUCGAGGCUGCAUCACUCACCAGUGGUGAAGUAGGAGGGUGAACUAGUGAAAUGGAAUCCACGAGUGGGUGAAGUAUCAGACAUUUCAUAUAUGGUGAACGUAGUAGAUAAAAGGAAGGAAAGGGGGAUUGGAUAGCUAUUGCUUAGUGCCAACCGAGACUCUUAAGAAUAGUGGUCAGCUGAAGGCAAGCAACAAACAGUUGUAAGCCAGUGAAUCUGUCCCGUUACAUAUAGAGAAGCUUCAUUUACUGCAGCAGGUCAAAGACAAGAACCAGGCCCAGGAAUUAACAUCCCUGUUUGACUGAACUCCAAAAAUAGCAAAACACCCAAACAAGGCAAUACUCUUCCACUAAGUUUGGAUCCCUGCUAAGAAAAGAUGAGGCUGGGCACAGUGGCUCACACCUGUAAUCCCAGCACUUUGGGAGGCCAAGGCGGGAAGAUUGCUUGAGUUCAGGAGUUCAAGACCAGCUUGGGCAACAUGACAAAACCCCAUCUCUACUGAAAACACAAAAAAUUAGCCGGGCAUGGUGGCCACGGCUGUGGUCCCAGCUGCUUGGGAGGCUAAGGUGGGUGGAUCACCUGAGCCCUGGAAGUCAGGGCUGUAGUGAGCUGUGACUGCACUCCAGCCUGGGCAACAGGAGUGAGACUCUGUCUUUUAAAAAAAAAAAAGAAAGAAAAGAAAAGCCCGUCAUACAUGGGUUGGAGAUACCUGGGUAGAUGCCUUCAAAGGUUUUGACUCCCCAAACUGCCUUAAACCUUUUUUUCGUAGACAGUGUCUCACUCUGUUGCCCAGGCUGGAGUGCAGUUGCUGGAUCAUGGCCCACUGUAGCCUCAACUUCCUGGGCUCAAACGAUCCUCCCACCUGAGCCUCCUAAGUAACUGGGACUACAGGUAUGUGUCACCACACCUGGAUACAUUUUUUAUUACUUGUAGAGGCAAGGUCUUGCUAUGUUGCCCGGGCUUGUCUCAAACUUCUAGGCUCCAGUGAGCCAUCACACCUGGCCUGCCUUGAACCUGAAGCCUGCCGGGGUGGCUCACCUCUCCUAUUAACCUGACACUACUCCUCCUCCCUCCACUUACUGCUCAGUAGAUGUAUAAUUAUGGUUGUUUCUUUUGCAUUAUUCAGCUGGAAACAAUGAGAUAGAAAAGAGAAUAUAGCUCCCUCCCCCUCAGAAGAACUGCGUUAUUAGUUUGCUGGGGCUUCAGUAACAAACUGGGCAGACAUUUAUUGUCUCCCAGUUCUGGAGGCUAGAAGUCUGAGAUCAAAGUUUUCACAGGGUUGGUUCCUUCUGGGGCUGGGAGGGAGAAUCUGUCUCAUGCCUCUCUCCCAGCUUCUGGUGGUUUGCUGGCAGUCUUUGGUUCCUUGGCUUAUAGAGGCAUUGUCCCAGUCCUGCCUUUAUAUUCACAUGGUGAUCUUGUUGUGUGUGUCUCUCCAGACGAAGGCAUAAGUAACAUCAUUGACAAAGGUCAUUCGACAUGGGCCUCUUUUUAGAAGGACACCAGUCAUACUGAUUAGGGCCCACUCUAAUGAGCGCAUCUUAACUUGUCUACAAAGACCCAUUUCCAAAUAAUGUCACAUUCACAUUGACCAGGGGUUAGGGCUUCAGCAUCUUUUGAGAGGGACACACUUCAGCCCAUAACAAGCUGUACCACCCAGCCAACAUGUACUGACAGGAGCUGGGAAAGUUUGGGGCUGGAUUAUGAGGGUGCUUGAUGAAGGGAGCUGGAAUGUAAACUUGCAUAGAUGUGUUUAUUGAAAUACGUGAUUUAACACCUUGGCAAAGAGUGGCUGCAGACUUCCUGCAAGGAUGGCUCCUAGAAUGGCGGUAUAGCUACUGCUGCCUAACAAAUUACUCCACACUUCGUGGCUUAAAACAAGAAUCAUUUCUUAUCUCUAGGUUACUGUGGGUCAGACAUAGUGGGGAUCGGUGAUCUCUCUAGGUUACUGUGGGUCAGACAUAGUGGGGAUUGGUUAUCUCUCUUCCACAGUGUCUGAGGCCUCAGCUGGAGCAGUUCAGAGGCUAGAGGUUGGAAUGAGUGAAGGUUCAUCUGCUCGAAUGUCUGACAGCUGAUACUGGAGAUUGGCUGCAGCCCAGAUUGGGGAUGUCAGCCAGCACACCCCUACACGGCCGGUCCCUGUGGCCGAGGCUUUCUCACAAUAUGAUGGCUGGAUUCCAAGGGCAAUCUAAAGACAAAGGACAAAAGAAAGCUGUAUCCUUUUUGUGAACCAGCCUCAGAAGUUGCAUACCAUCACUUCGGCUACUUCCUAUUUGGAAGAAAUGAGUCACUAAAUUACCCAUAUUCAAAAGGAGAGGAAUUAGGCUUCAUCUUCUAAAGGGAAGAAUAUCAAAAAAUUUGCCAGUAUAUUUUUAAAACACCACACUUGGAAAAAGCCAUGGGCCAUGGUAAGCAAAAUUGAAAUGGCAAAAUUGCUAUGGCAGACAGUGGUGGAAGGGAGUAAAAGGUUCAGGGGUGUGGGCAUGUUGAAAUUUAUAUACUCCGUGCAUCUAGAAGACAUUUGAGACGAUCAUAUUCCACAUGAAGGUGUAAAUAACACGUCAUUUAUAAAGAUCAUUAGACAUAGGAUGAUGAAAGGGGCACUGAUGUCACUAAAAUAUUCAGUGAUGGCUCAUCUCUGUAGGCAAGAAUGACAAUAGAAAGGCUGUUCCAGAACUUGGCUGGGUGAUAGCACUGGGGAUGAUAGGAUCCUAAGACAAAAGAGGCCAUUCUGGGACAUAGUGGGGACCAAAGAAAAAAACCCAAGAAGCCAAAGGCAACACUUAGCUGGCAGAAGUCAGAGGAUUGCAAUUAUAGCAGCCAGCAGGGUCUGAGUGGCAGCCAAGGGGACCUCACUUGUAUGGUUAUAGAACUGGUCAAUAAACAUGGCAUCCCUGGAGGCAAAACAGGUGGGCAGCUAAGAAGGGUACUACUCAGCUGGCAAAAAAAAAAAAAAAAAAAAAAAUCCAUCCAGGCACGGUGGCCUGUGCCUGUAAUCUCAGCAUUUGGGGAAGCUAAGGUGGGAGGAUCACUUGAGCCCAGGAGUUCAAGAUUACAGUGAGCUGUGGUUGCACCACUGCACUCCAGCCCGGGCAAUGUGGCAAGACUGUCUCAAUUGAAAAAAAUAAAUAAAGAUGCUUGUCCCAGUUUUAAAAAAUCAGGAUUCCAUGCCCAGCUUCUGGAACUGAGCCAGUUUUCAGAAAUGGAAACAUUACUUGAGAGGUGGCCAAACACCAGGAAGAAGGACCUAUAACAGUACAAGUACAACAGAAAUGAAUCCCCAGGUACUUUUCCAAAGGGUCUGAUAGCAAUUUCUUUUGAUAACUACAUCCUGGAGAAAAGUGAUUAGCCAAACAUUUGGAAGACUUGUGGACACAGGGUCUAAAUUGAUGUCCAGAUGCCUAGAAUAUCAUCCCCUUCUGUUAGAGUGGCUGCAUGUGGUGGCCAGGUAAUUGAUGGAGUUCUGCUAAAGGUCCAGCUUACAGUGGACCCGUAGACCUAGUGGACUGAUCUAGUGAUAUUUUCUUAGCCUUCGAGUGAGUAAUUGGCAUUGACAUACUUGGCAGUGAAUGCUCAUUCCAGGUCCCUGACCUAUAGAGUUAGAUAACAAAAUGGAAAAAGCCAAACAGAAACCUGAAACUGCCCCAUCCCCUACCAAGAUUAUAAAACAAUUAUCCCAGAGCGGGAAUGGCAGAGAUAAGUGCCACUUCUAAGGAUCCAAGUGAUGUAAAGUGGUGGUUACCAACAUUUUUAAUUUACCAGCAUGACCCCUGCAGAAGUCACAAGGAUCCUGGAGAAUGGCAGCCUACUCUAUUUGCUGUCAACCAGUAGUUGUUUUGGGUACACUGCUGCAAACUCAUCUAAGAAGUAUCCCUGGCCGGGCACAGUGGCUCACGCCUGUAAUCCCAGCACUUUGGGAGGAUAAGGUGGGCGGAACACGAGGUCAGGAGUUCAGUCUGGCCAACAUAGUGAAACCCUGUCUCUACUAAAAAUACAAAAAAUUAGCUGGGUGUGGUGGUGUGCACCUGUAAUCCCAGCUACUUGGGAGGCUGAGGCAGGAGAAUCCCAUGAACCUGGGAGGUGGAGGUUGCAGUGAGCCGAGAUCAUGCCAUUGCACUCCAGCCCAGGUGACAGUGUGAGACUCUAUCUCAAAAAAAAAAAAAAAAAGUAUCCGUAAUAGCCUCUCUGCCAGAUAUGGUAGGUAGUUGUUGACUAGGUGGAUUUGUUCUUUUCUGUACCUAUCAGGGAUCAAAAACAUUUUGCAUUUGCAUGGAAUUAAAAUGCAGUUUUGCCGGAAGGUUAUGUUACUUCUCUUGCUCUCUGUCGUAAUCCAAAGAGAUCUGGACCACCUAGACAUCCUGUAGAAUAUUACAUUGUUCCUUUACAUCAGUGACAUGUUGAUCAGCCAGAUGAGAAGUGCAGAAGAUCCUGGAGACAGCUGCUCCAGAGAGUGGCAUAUAAACCCUACAGGAAUCCAGGAGCCUGCUACAAUCCUAACAUUUUUAGGGCUCCAGUGGUCAGGGGUGCUCUAGGGCAUCCCUUCCAAAAGCGAAUGAAUUAUUGCUGCUUGCACCUCCUGCCGUUAAGAAAGCAAGACGCUUGUUGGUUCUCGAGCUAGUUCUUGCCUCAGGUUCUGGAGGCAGCAUGUCCCACACCUGGGAGUAUUGCUCUGGUCCAGAGACUAGUGGAAUUGGGAGAUUUCCAAUUUUGGAAAGAGCCCAGAACUGGAAACGUCUGUACAGUAGAUCCGGGUUGUGAUGAAGUAAUGCUAUUGCCUGGGCCAUAUAGUCCAACAGGUGUUUUUUUGGUGUUAUUAAUGGUGCAGAAUGAUGCAAUGUAGAGAUUCUGUCAUGCCACCUGGAGCAGAGAAUUGUAUGCAUUUGGGGGGCGGGCGGGUGUAGAUCUGUCUUCUGGUAUGCCACUUGUCUCUGACAGAGAUGGAACGCCUGACCGUAAGCCACCAGGUGACCAUGCAACCAGAACUGCCUGUUAAUGUUAAACUAGCAAAAGUCAUAACAUCAGUUGGGGCCAGCAACGGUCCCUCAUAAUAUGGAAGUAGUAUAUUCAAGGUUGAGCAUGAGAAUGUACAGAGGUUACCAAAUGAGCUGCAGAGCACAGAUGCACAUGACUUCCAGAACUGUUGGAUCAGCCACAAUGUCAUUUCACACCUGUGACAGUGUGAGGGGGCCCUUAUAGCCAGUUGACAGGAGUAAAAAUCGUGAGCAUGGUGUAUAAAUGGGUUGGCUCAGUAUGAGUUCAAAAUGAAAAUAGCAGCUACAUUACAGCCUUCUCAGGGGUGACCUUGAAAAAUGGUGAUAAGGGCAUAUCCUCUCAAUAGGCAGAAUUUCAGGCAGAGCUCCUGGUCGUCCACUUUUUUGUGGAAGAAGUAGCCCAAGGUGAGAAUAUACAUGGAGCCAUGGGCAAUGCUAGAGGGCCUGGGUAACUGGUUAAGGGCCUGGAAGGAAAACAAUCGGAAGUUGGAGAUAAGGAGGUGUGUGGUAGAUUUAUGUGGUCAGAUAAAUUGGAAUAGCACGAAGUACAAUGUUCUUUGUAUACAAUGUUAAUGCCCACCAGAGAGCAUCCAUGAAAGAAGCAUUAUACAACCAAGUAGACAGUUGACUCAGCCAGUUGAUAUUGGACAGCAUCUUUUAUUGGCUACUGUACUACUGGCAUGAUGGGCACAUGGACAAGGUAGCCAAGGUGAUGGACGCUGUUCAUGGGCCUGACAGCAACCCAUGCUCUCUACCCAGCUUUGGUUAAUAUCUAGCUGCCCCUGAAUAUCUAACCUGCCAGCAAAAGAGAUCUACCCGGCUUUGGUUAAUAUCUAGCUGCCCCUAAAUAUCUAACCUGCCAGCAAAAGAGACCAGUGCUAUACUCCCAUUGUGGGUCACUUCAUCAAGGAGCACAAACAUCCAGGUUUACAGAGGUCUUUAGACAUAGUCCCCAUUUUAUAAGGAGAGUUUACUGUAUUGGAACUCUCCCAUCCUGGAAGGGCUGGUGGUUCACUUUUCACAAGAAUAGUCUCAUAUUCCAGAUACGAGGCUUGUCUUUUCCUACUCACAAGUGUCAGCCAGAAAGGCUUAAGGAGUGUUUGUUUCACUGACAUAAGCACACAACAUUUCAAACGAGAUUCACUUUAUAGCCAAGGAAGUGUAGUGUCCAUGGGCCCUCCUGCCUGGCAGAGCGCUGAGACAGCAUGCUAAAGGCACAGCCUCCCAAAGGCAUGAGCCACUGAGCCCGGCACUGAAGACUUCCUUGAAACCGUUCUUUGCAAUCUUUCUGUUAUUGACCAGCUGGACAGUGCGUAACUGCAUGGGAAUGCUUGCAGAUCAGUAAAUUCAGACACCUUCCUUUCCACAUAAGAUGGACCACCAGCUGUACCCUCCCAAGUUUUGCCAGCUGGAAAUCUUCAAAAAU